RNAcentral lists this unclassified non-coding RNA (1562 nucleotides) under Leishmania donovani. RNAcentral's name for it is "gene:unknown". The record is from RNAcentral. Lineage: Eukaryota; Euglenozoa; Kinetoplastea; Trypanosomatida; Trypanosomatidae.
GUUCGGCUUUCGGCUCACCCCUGCUUAUGCGCCUUCUCUUCCUCAGUCGUUUUUCAACUGAGCACUGCAGUGAUGACAGGUGCGUUGAUGAGGUAGUGGUGGUGGUGGUGGGGGGGGGCCGGUGCCGUGUGGGCGGCACCCCAUGCACUCGCCUUCCACCGUGAAUGCCAUCCUUGCAGGAGGCGGCACAAGCGGCGCCGGGGCUCUUCUGGUCUCUUUUUCUUAUGGCCUGUUCGUUUCCCGGAGCCUGCGUUUUCCUUCUUUGUGCUUCUGCACAUCCGCCCUGUCGCGGCUGCCGCUCUCUCAUCAGGUGCAAUGUGGGGAUGCUUCGAUACGCACAUCUGCCCGGAGCUGCGCGGCGACCGUCGUUAAGGACACGUAUUAAACAUGCGUGGAGCGUAUGUUGUGCCGGGGCAGCACAUCUUGUUGUAUACGUGACUCCGUUCUUGUUAUCCUUCUUGCUUUGAGGGGGGCCGAUGCGGGUGCGUAUGGGCAUUCUAUAGCACGGCAGACCCUAUGUGGCAGCGCCACGAUCCACGCCUAGCCAUUCGAUGCCUCUCCGCUGCGCACGCAACCUCACGGCACUGCUUUUCACGCACUGCGGAAGGUCCACGUUGCUGGGGGCGUGAGAAGCAACGCAAGAUAUCAUGCCAGCGUGCACGCAGACGCGUAUUUCAUAAGGCGGCGGCAUGCGAAGAGCUGGAGAUGACGCACUUCAUGAAACACGCGGUUUGCUCACACACACCCAUACCCAUGAAGCUACACAUAUAGGCUCCCAUGGAAGAACAUUCGCAGGUCCUCACGGGCGCACCUCCUUCACACACACACACACACACACACACACACACACACACACACGCACCGGCAUGCGCGCCCCCUGUAUCAUAAAAUCCGUGGCUUCAUUCGUUCUUGUCUCUUAUCUGCACUCCUUGCGACGACUUACUGCUAUCCACGUCGCUCGUGUUGCAUUCAGCUCAUCUUCUUUUACCGUCGUAUGCCUCGCCUUAGGCGUCCCCUCGGCGUUUCGCGUGUUUUUCUGUUUUCGACGUUUUUUUUUGAAUCGCUUGCAAAAGGCCUGUCGCUGUCGGGGAAGGUAAGGCGGGAGGAAGGCUGGCUCCGCUCCUUGCACCCCCUCUACCACCGUUUCGAACGAUUUCCCUCUUAGCAUGAGCACCAUCAACACGAGGGAGAGAGGCGAUGCAUGCAUCUCAGCACCAUUCUAACUCCGUCGCCAAGCGAGGCGGCGGCGCCAGCGUCGAAGAUGCUUCAUCGCGGGGUAGGCCAUCACCUCUGUGCAUCUGAAGGACAACGCGGGUAGAGCGCAAAGCAGCCCCUGCCUCCUCUCUUACUCUCGCGCUGCCUCUCGCAUGCAGCCCCCAAGCCAAUAACAAGCCCUCAGCCGCUGCUGUCACCACCUAAACGAAAGCGGACCCGCUUGCCUUUCUCUGCACGUGAAGGGUGCGCGCAUGUGCUGUGAAACACCCACAUCCCUGUGCGUAUGCUCCCCCUCUUCCUUGCACACCACUUCCUCACUUCUCCGUCGAGCGCGUCACCUCACACAG